UCACCCAGGAUAUAACAGGCUUUCUUUUCAAACAGAAACAAUGCUGCAAUAAGCAAGAAAACACCUAUCGCUAGGCCACUUCCAAGCCUUUUUCCUAAAUACAAAUCACAGUUAAAAGAAGUCAGGGAUUUCCACCUAAAACCAGGCUCAAGCAGCGACCUCAGAUCGAGAGGUUCUACUUAAGCUAACCAAGCACGUGGUCUUAACACAGAGCAAGCUUUUUAAAAAAGGAAAGAGGAGUGAAUAAGAAUCCAGGCCUCAAGAGUCCUUCCUUCAGAAUUAAUUACUGUAAUUUGAUGAGGGAGAAUCAAGUGACCGAGACAGGAAAGCAGUCCUACAAGAUUAUUGCACGAAGCAUUUCAAACGCAGGACCAGAUAACCCCAGGGAAACCAGGACAACAUGAAAGUCCAAAUUACUUGGGCCAAGAUACAAAGGAAAGAAUAAACCUAGAAAAUAAAUUCUGAGAACAACUUUUCUGCCAACCAGCUGAAAUAUGUAGCUUCUUACUCCCCUUGCCCAGUUCAUGUUCUUGGUAGGUUACCUAAUUUUAUUGUGAACUGUGCCUGCCUUCAACUCAGUUAAAUUUGCCUCUUUAUGCUUCUCAGAGCCCACUUAGAGUGUCACUUGGCGGCUACGGCAGAAGGAUUUCUUUUCCUGAUUUAUAUGGGUGUGAGGAUGGCGGUUAAGUGCUACUGCAAAAGAAGGAUGGCAAGGCACCCUGAUGCUUCUCCCAGCCUUAGGUAGACACGAGCAGAACGUCCAUUAAAAGCUACCAAUCCAAUCAGAACUAAUUGACAUGUUCUGCUACUAAUCUUAGCUUCCAGGGCCGGACCUGGUUAAUUCUUGGAGAAUCCCAAGCUAGACUGGGAAGUUAAAAAGACAUCCACAAGGCAAUGGCAAACCACUUCCACAAUGUCCAACGUCAUCAGGAGCCAAAGAAACCAGAAGUGUGCUUGGAACCUCCUCAGGAAUCAAGCCUGACUCAAAGACGACGUUACGUUUUUACUACAAGCAAGUGGAUAGCCAAGCAACAUUUCCUUGGGAACUGGCUUUUAAGCUUUAUCCAAAGGUUCACCUAAAACAGCAGAGGAAAAAGAUCAUAGGGCAACUCCUUUGAGGCACUGAACGUAGAAAAACAUUUGACGCUUGCAACUACUUUUUCAAUGCUGAUCAUUUCUACAGUG
Python bivittatus (Burmese python) is the source of this 1185-nucleotide non-coding RNA. The record is from RefSeq and is a predicted model, not a curated record. Lineage: Eukaryota; Metazoa; Chordata; Lepidosauria; Squamata; Pythonidae.